UACGUAGGGUGCGAGCGUUGUCCGGAAUUACUGGGCGUAAAGCGUGCGUAGACGGUAGCGUAAGUCAGAUGUGAAAGCCCCGGGCUCAACCUGGGAAUUGCAUUUGAGACUGCUCUGCUCGGGUGCGGAAGAGGGAAGCGGAAUUUCCGGUGUAGCGGUGAAAUGCGCAGAUAUCAGGAAGAACACCCGUGGCGAAGGCGGCUCUCUGGGACGGUACUGACGCUGAGACGCGAAAGCGUGGGGAGCGAACAGG
This 253-nucleotide ribosomal RNA is filed under the name uncultured bacterium. RNAcentral's name for it is "partial 16S ribosomal RNA". It matches the Rfam family "Bacterial small subunit ribosomal RNA", at positions 524 to 776 of the family's 1533-position model. The record is from RNAcentral.